CACUCACUGUCAUGUACUGUUCCUCUUACUGCUGGCCCUCCAGUUGAGGCUUUUAAGUAAUAAGGAGAGCCUUAGCCAUCAUACUUAGUUUGCACAUUGGAUGACAUCCUUUAAGAAAACUUACUUUUCUAGUUAAAGUUGUCAGUUUUUCUCACACAUAAAACCAGAAAAAUAGAUUCAUCUUAGAAAUUUUUAUAAUCCCUGAGGACAGUUCUGUGAGUUGAAUCUUAAUGAAUGAAGGGUCAAGGUUGGAAUCCUGCGACCUGAAUGUAACCCAUUGUCAAAAUCUAUCCAAGGCUCUCCAGAGUAACAGGAGCCUGGUAUUUCUGAAUCUGUCCACCAACAGUCUAUCAAAUGAUGGAGUAAAGUCGUUGUGUGAGGUCUUAGAAAAUCCAAACUGUCCUCUAGAGAGACUAGCGUUAGCAAGCUGUGGCCUCACAAAAGUUGGUUGUGAAGUUCUUUCCUCGGCUCUCACCAAAACUAAGAGGUUGACACAUUUAUGCUUGGCACACAACGUCUUGGAAGAUGAAGGGAUAGAGCUGCUCAGCUAUACCUUGAGGCAUCCACGGUGUACUCUACAAAGCCUUGUG
This 590-nucleotide long non-coding RNA is filed under the name Rattus norvegicus (Norway rat). Its description in RNAcentral is "long non-coding RNA NONRATT001070". The record is from RNAcentral. Lineage: Eukaryota; Metazoa; Chordata; Mammalia; Rodentia; Muridae.